GCUUGUCUCAAAGAUUAAGCCAUGCAUGUCUAAGUAUAAACGAAUUUAUACUGUGAAACUGCGAAUGGCUCAUUACAUCAGUUAUAGUUUAUUUGAUGGUCCUUGCUACUUGGAUAACCGUAGUAAUUCUAGAGCUAAUACAUGCAUAAAACCCUAACUUCGGAAGGGUUGUAUUUAUUAGAUAAAAAACCAAUGCCCUUCGGGGCUCUUUGGUGAUUCAUGAUAACUUCUCAGAUCGCACGGCCUUGCGCCGGCGACGGUUCAUUCAAAUUUCUGCCCUAUCAACUUUCGAUGGUACGGUAUUGGCCUACCAUGGUUUCAACGGGUAACAGGGAAUUAGGGUUCGAUUCUGGAGAGCGAGCCUGAGAGACGGCUAGCACAUCCAAGGAAGGCAGCAGG
This 399-nucleotide ribosomal RNA is filed under the name uncultured Trematosphaeria. Its description in RNAcentral is "partial small subunit ribosomal RNA". It matches the Rfam family "Eukaryotic small subunit ribosomal RNA", at positions 30 to 432 of the family's 1831-position model. The record is from RNAcentral. Lineage: Eukaryota; Fungi; Ascomycota; Dothideomycetes; Pleosporales; Trematosphaeriaceae.